Long non-coding RNA from Sebastes umbrosus (honeycomb rockfish), 150 nucleotides. RefSeq lists it as uncharacterized. NCBI's taxonomy places the organism in Eukaryota, Metazoa, Chordata, Actinopteri, Perciformes, Sebastidae. The transcript has 3 exons. The record is from RefSeq and is a predicted model, not a curated record.
AGCCGGAUUUGUAAGCGCCCCCUCGGCAUCGUAAACUGACGCAUGGAGGCACCCUCUAGCAACAGUAUGUGACGAACCGGGCUUUCAACUAACUCCAAUGUAAACCCACCAACAGCGUUAUUUAACGGUCGGAGCAAGUAACGUAGUAUU